UACGGAGGGGGCUAGCGUUGUUCGGAAUUACUGGGCGUAAAGCGCACGUAGGCGGCUUUGUAAGUUAGAGGUGAAAGCCCAGGGCUCAACCCUGGAAUUGCCUUUAAGACUGCAUCGCUUGAACAUCGGAGAGGUAAGUGGAAUUCCGAGUGUAGAGGUGAAAUUCGUAGAUAUUCGGAAGAACACCAGUGGCGAAGGCGACUUACUGGACGAUUGUUGACGCUGAGGUGCGAAAGCGUGGGGAGUAAACAGG
This 253-nucleotide ribosomal RNA is filed under the name uncultured bacterium. RNAcentral's name for it is "partial 16S ribosomal RNA". It matches the Rfam family "Bacterial small subunit ribosomal RNA", at positions 524 to 776 of the family's 1533-position model. The record is from RNAcentral.